GUGGCGGACGGGUGAGUAACGCGCCNUUAACUUGCCUUACAGACUGGGACAACAUUUGGAAACGAAUGCUAAUACCGGAUAUUAUGACUGAGUCGCAUGAUUUGGUUAUGAAAGCUAUAUGCGCUGUGAGAGAGCUUUGCGUCCCAUUAGUUAGUUGGUGAGGUAACGGCUCACCAAGACGAUGAUGGGUAGCCGGCCUGAGAGGGUGAACGGCCACAAGGGGACUGAGACACGGCCCUUACUCCUACGGGAGGCAGCAGUGGGGAAUAUUGGACAAUGGACCAAAAGUCUGAUCCAGCAAUUCUGUGUGCACGAUGAAGUUUUUCGGAAUGUAAAGUGCUUUCAGUUGGGAAGAAGUCAGUGACGGUACCAACAGAAGAAGCGACGGCUAAAUACGUGCCAGCAGCCGCGGUAAUACGUAUGUCGCAAGCGUUAUCCGGAUUUAUUGGGCGUAAAGCGCGUCUAGGCGGUUUAGUAAGUCUGAUGUGAAAAUGCGGGGCUCAACCCCGUAUUGCGUUGGAAACUGUUAAACUAGAGUACUGGAGAGGUAGGCGGAACUACAAGUGUAGAGGUGAAAUUCGUAGAUAUUUGUAGGAAUGCCGAUGGGGAAGCCAGCCUACUGGACAGAUACUGACGCUAAAGCGCGAAAGCGUGGGUAGCAAACAGGAUUAGAUACCCUGGUAGUCCACGCCGUAAACGAUGAUUACUAGGUGUUGGGGGUCGAACCUCAGCGCCCAAGCUAACGCGAUAAGUAAUCCGCCUGGGGAGUACGUACGCAAGUUAUGAAACUCAAAGGAAUUGACGGGGAACCCGCACAAGCGGGGGAGCAUGGGGUUUAAUUCGACGCAACGCGAGGAAACCUUACCAGCGUUUUGACAUCCCAAGAAGUUAACAGAGAUGUUUUCGUGCCUCUUCGGAGGAACUUGGGGACAGGUGGUGCAUGGCUGUCGUCAGCUCGUGUCGUGAGAUGUUGGGUUAAGUCCCGCAACGAGCGCAACCCCUUUCGUAUGUUACCAUCAUUAAGUUGGGGACUCAUGCGAGACUGCCUGCGAUGAGCAGGAGGAAGGUGGGGAUGACGUCAAGUCAUCAUGCCCCUUAUACGCUGGGCUACACACGUGCUACAAUGGGUAGUACAGAGAGCUGCAAACCUGCGAGGGUAAGCUAAUCUCAUAAAACUAUUCUUAGUUCGGAUUGUACUCUGCAACUCGAGUACAUGAAGUUGGAAUCGCUAGUAAUCGCAAAUCAGCUAUGUUGCGGUGAAUACGUUCUCGGGUCUUGUACACACCGCCCGUCACACCACGAGAGUUGGUUGCACCUGAAGUAACAGGCCUAACCGUAAGGAGGGAUUUCCGAAGGUG
RNAcentral lists this ribosomal RNA (1358 nucleotides) under bacterium NLAE-zl-P292. RNAcentral's name for it is "16S ribosomal RNA". It matches the Rfam family "Bacterial small subunit ribosomal RNA", at positions 95 to 1464 of the family's 1533-position model. The record is from RNAcentral.